GACGAACGCUGGCGGCGUGCCUAACACAUGCAAGUCGAGCGGAGACAGUGAGUAGCUUGCUAUGAGCUGUUUUAGCGGCGGACGGGUGAGUAACGCGUGAGCAACCUUUCCCAGACAGGGGAAUAACACACCGAAAGGUGUACUAAUACCGCAUAAGACCACGGGAUCACAUGGUUCUGGGGUAAAAGAUUUAUCGGUUUGGGGUGGGCUCGCGUCCGAUUAGGUAGUUGGUGAGGUAACGGCCCACCAAGCCGACGAUCGGUAGCCGACCUGAGAGGGUGAUCGGCCACAUUGGGACUGAGACACGGCCCAAACUCCUACGGGAGGCAGCAGUGGGGAAUAUUGGGCAAUGGGGGGAACCCUGACCCAGCAACGCCGCGUGGAGGAAGAAGGUUUUCGGAUCGUAAACUCCUGUC
RNAcentral lists this ribosomal RNA (416 nucleotides) under uncultured bacterium. RNAcentral describes it as "bacterial SSU rRNA". It matches the Rfam family "Bacterial small subunit ribosomal RNA", at positions 28 to 437 of the family's 1533-position model. The record is from RNAcentral.